AGCUCCUUGAACUUUAAACAGCAUGUCUACUAAACCGGACUGCAAAGUGAGGCUCAAACUCAAGGCAAGCACACAAUUCUUCUGAGAAAGUAGCCAUUUUCUUGAGUAACUGCCAUUUUAUCCUAAAAAUACAUCUUUACAUGUCUCUGGUACAGAUUAGUUUUACACUGAAAUACAAAAUGACUGAGUUUUUCACUGGAAUCCUUGAAAUCCACCCCCCAAUACUUUCACCAGUGUCUGACUGGUACAUUUUUUGAAGCAUCUCAUAGUGCUUCCAAAAGCCUAUGA
Long non-coding RNA from Poecilia latipinna (sailfin molly), 288 nucleotides. RefSeq lists it as uncharacterized. The record is from RefSeq and is a predicted model, not a curated record. NCBI's taxonomy places the organism in Eukaryota, Metazoa, Chordata, Actinopteri, Cyprinodontiformes, Poeciliidae. The transcript has 3 exons.